UCGAACGGCAGCGCGGACUUCGGUCUGGCGGCGAGUGGCGAACGGGUGAGUAAUACAUCGGAACGUACCCUGUUGUGGGGGAUAACUAGUCGAAAGAUUAGCUAAUACCGCAUACGACCUGAGGGUGAAAGUGGGGGACCGCAAGGCCUCACGCAGCAGGAGCGGCCGAUGUCUGAUUAGCUAGUUGGUGGGGUAAAGGCCCACCAAGGCGACGAUCAGUAGCUGGUCUGAGAGGACGAUCAGCCACACUGGGACUGAGACACGGGCCAGACUCCUACGGGAGGCAGCAGUGGGGAAUUUUGGACCAUGGGGGGCACCCUGAUCCAGCAAUGCCCGGUGUGUGAAGAAGGCCUUCGGGGUUGUAAGCCCUUUUGGUCGGAAAGAAAUCGCGCUGGUUUAUACCUGGGCGUGGAUUACCGUACCGGGAGAAAUAUCCACCGGCUAACUACU
RNAcentral lists this ribosomal RNA (450 nucleotides) under uncultured bacterium. RNAcentral's name for it is "bacterial SSU rRNA". It matches the Rfam family "Bacterial small subunit ribosomal RNA", at positions 62 to 505 of the family's 1533-position model. The record is from RNAcentral.